This 254-nucleotide ribosomal RNA is filed under the name uncultured bacterium. RNAcentral's name for it is "partial 16S ribosomal RNA". It matches the Rfam family "Bacterial small subunit ribosomal RNA", at positions 524 to 776 of the family's 1533-position model. The record is from RNAcentral.
GACGAACCGUGCGAACGUUAUUCGGAAUCACUGGGCUUAAAGCGCGUGUAGGCGGAUGGGAACGUCGGCAACUGAAAUCCCCCGGCUCAACCGGGGAAGUGGUACCGAAACGACCUGUCUGGAGGGACGUAGGGGGACCUGGAACUUCCGGUGGAGCGGUGAAAUGCGUUGAGAUCGGAAGGAACGCCCGUGGCGAAAGCGAGGUCCUGGACGUCUGCUGACGCUGAGACGCGAAAGCUAGGGGAGCAAACGGG